Molecule: ribosomal RNA, 468 nt
Filed under: uncultured bacterium
Lineage: Bacteria
Description: partial 16S ribosomal RNA
Rfam family: Bacterial small subunit ribosomal RNA
Source: RNAcentral
GACGAACGCUGGCGGCGUGCUUAACACAUGCAAGUCGAACGGAAAGGCCCUGCUUUUGUGGGGUGCGCGAGUGGCGAACGGGUGAGUAACACGUGAGUAACCUGCCCUUGACUUUGGGAUAACUUCAGGAAACUGGGGCUAAUACCGGAUAGGAGCUCCUGCUGCAUGGGGGGGGUUGGAAAGUUUCGGCGGUUGGGGUUGGACUCGCGGCUUAUCAGCUUGUUGGUGGGGUAGUGGCUUACCAAGGCUUUGACGGGUAGCCGGCCUGAGAGGGUGACCGGCCACAUUGGGACUGAGCUACGGCACAGACUCCUACGGGAGGCAGAAGUGCGGAAUAUUGCACAACGGGCGGAAGCCUGAUGCAGCAACGCCGCGUGCGGGAUGACGGCCUUCGGGUUGUAAACCGCUUUCGCCUGUGACGAAGCGUGAGUGACGGUAAUGGGUAAAGAAGCACCGGCUAACUACGUG